CUGGUGAGUGUGUCAUGGGCUUGGUCAUUUUUGGCCGGCCUCUAGAGUCCGCUUAGCUGCGGGUCCUUUUUCCUUCGGGAAUGGGGAUGUGCGUUGCGCUUGUCAAGUGCUGUGCGCUCUGGAGGUUGCCGGGCUGGCUCGCUAGUGCACUUUCUCGGGGUGGUCACCACGACCGGCGUUGUUGCCUUACUGCUGUAGUCAAACCGGUCAGGUUUGGUCCUUGUGACUGAAUUUGAUCGGGAUGGCAGGUAGCUCAUUGGUUGGCUUGCUAGCCUUUGGGUGUAAUAGCUGGCUGCAGUGGUUUUGUGCAAUACGUCGGAGACGGCGGCUUCAGGUGUGUGCUUUUGUGUCGUGGGCUGGCAGUGUCGGGUUUGACUGGCGUGUUUACCUGCUUCGGUGGGUCUGUCGGUAGCUCGGUGCUGUUCGGUUUGCGGUUGCAUUAGUGAUGCCGUUAAUGGGC
RNAcentral lists this ribosomal RNA (460 nucleotides) under Posthodiplostomum sp. PST-JMU. RNAcentral's name for it is "partial large subunit ribosomal RNA". The record is from RNAcentral. Lineage: Eukaryota; Metazoa; Platyhelminthes; Trematoda; Diplostomida; Diplostomidae.